AGCGGAGGAAAAGAAACCAACAGGGAUUGCCCUAGUAACGGCGAGUGAAGCGGCAACAGCUCAAAUUUGAAAUCUGGCUCUUUCAGGGUCCGAGUUGUAAUUUGUAGAGGGUGCUUUGGAGUUGACUGUGGUCUAAGUUCCUUGGAACAGGACGUCGCAGAGGGUGAGAAUCCCGUAUGUGGCCGCCAGUCUUCGCCGUGUAAAGCCCCUUCGACGAGUCGAGUUGUUUGGGAAUGCAGCUCUAAAUGGGAGGUAAAUUUCUUCUAAAGCUAAAUAUUGGCCAGAGACCGAUAGCGCACAAGUAGAGUGAUCGAAAGAUGAAAAGCACUUUGGAAAGAGAGUCAAAAAGCACGUGAAAUUGUUGAAAGGGAAGCGCUUGCAGCCAGACUUGCCUGUAGUUGCUCAUCCGGGCUUUUGCCCGGUGCACUCUUCUAUAGGCAGGCCAGCAUCAGUCCUGGCGGUCGGAUAAAUGCCCGCUGAAUGUACCUCUCCUCGGGGAGGACUUAUAGCAGUGGGCGGCAUACGACCAGCCGGGAUUGAGGUCCGCGCAUCUGCUAGGAUGCUGGCGUAAUGGCUGUAAGCGGCCCGUCUUGAAACACGGACCAAGGAGUCUAACAUCUAUGCGAGUGUUUGGGUGUCAAGCCCGAGCGCGUAAUGAAAGUGAACGGAGGUGGGAACCCCUCGGGGCGCACCAUCGACCGAUCCUGAUGUCUUCGGAUGGAUUUGAGUAAGAGCAUAGCUGUUGGGACCCGAAAGAUGGUGAACUAUGCCUGAAUAGGGUGAAGCCAGAGGAAACUCUGGUGGAGGCUCGCAGCGGUUCUGACGUGCAAAUCGAUCGUCAAAUUUGGGCAUAGGGGCGAAAGACUAAUCGAACUAUCUAGUAGCUGG
This 888-nucleotide ribosomal RNA is filed under the name Sporormiella procaviae. RNAcentral's name for it is "Preussia procaviae partial large subunit ribosomal RNA". It matches the Rfam family "Eukaryotic large subunit ribosomal RNA", at positions 49 to 954 of the family's 3401-position model. The record is from RNAcentral. Lineage: Eukaryota; Fungi; Ascomycota; Dothideomycetes; Pleosporales; Sporormiaceae.